CAGUCGCCGCGGUAAAACGGAGGGUGCAAGCGUUAUCCGGAUUUAUUGGGUUUAAAGGGUCCGUAGGCGGACUUAUAAGUCAGUGGUGAAAGCCUGUCGCUUAACGAUAGAACUGCCAUUGAUACUGUAAGUCUUGAGUAUAUUUGAGGUAGCUGGAAUAAGUAGUGUAGCGGUGAAAUGCAUAGAUAUUACUUAGAACACCAAUUGCGAAGGCAGGUUACCAAGAUAUAACUGACGCUGAGGGACGAAAGCGUGGGUAGCGAACAGGAUUAGAUACCCGAGUAGUCCCUGUCUCUUAUAU
Molecule: ribosomal RNA, 301 nt
Filed under: uncultured bacterium
Lineage: Bacteria
Description: partial 16S ribosomal RNA
Rfam family: Bacterial small subunit ribosomal RNA
Source: RNAcentral